CCGCCGCCGCCGCGCCCCGCCGCUCGCUUUUCCUUUCCGUCGCCAAGAUGGCGGAGUACGACCUGACCACCAAGAUCGCGCACUUCUUGGACCGGCAUUUGGUCUUCCCGCUGCUAGAGUUCCUCUCCGUCAAGGAGAUAUACAAUGAAAAAGAGCUACUCCAAGGAAAACUGGAUCUCCUUAGUGAUACUAACAUGGUGGAUUUUGCUAUGGAUGUGUACAAAAAUCUUUAUUCAGAUGAAAUUCCACAUGCUUUGCGUGAAAAGAGAACAACUGUUGUUGCACAGCUGAAGCAGCUUCAAGCUGAAACUGAACCUAUUGUCAAGAUGUUUGAGGAUCCAGAGACUACAAGGCAAAUGCAGUCCACUAGGGACGGUCGGAUGCUGUUUGACUAUUUAGCUGAGAAGCAUGGAUUCAGGCAGGAGUACCUAGAUACACUCUACAGGUAUGCAAAAUUCCAAUAUGAAUGUGGUAAUUACUCGGGAGCUGCGGAAUAUCUCUACUUCUUUAGAGUUCUGGUUCCAGCAACAGACAGAAAUGCUUUGAGUUCACUUUGGGGAAAACUGGCAUCUGAAAUUCUGAUGCAGAAUUGGGAUGCAGCCAUGGAAGAUCUCACAAGACUGAAGGAGACAAUAGAUAAUAAUUCGGUCAGCUCUCCGCUGCAGUCUCUUCAGCAAAGAACGUGGCUCAUCCACUGGUCUUUGUUCGUCUUUUUUAAUCAUCCUAAAGGGAGGGACAAUAUCAUCGACCUGUUUCUCUAUCAACCACAGUAUCUCAAUGCAAUUCAGACAAUGUGCCCACAUAUCCUCAGAUAUCUGACUACUGCAGUUAUAACAAAUAAGGACGUUCGAAAACGUAGACAAGUGCUGAAAGAUCUAGUCAAAGUUAUUCAGCAGGAGUCCUACACAUACAGGGACCCUAUCACAGAAUUUGUGGAAUGCUUAUAUGUCAAUUUUGAUUUUGAUGGUGCACAGAAGAAGUUGAGAGAGUGUGAAACAGUGCUUGUGAAUGAUUUCUUCUUGGUGGCAUGCCUUGAGGACUUCAUUGAGAAUGCACGUCUCUUUAUAUUUGAGACUUUUUGUCGCAUCCAUCAGUGUAUCAGCAUUGGUAUGUUGGCAGAUAAACUAAAUAUGACUCCUGAAGAAGCAGAAAGAUGGAUUGUCAAUCUAAUUCGAAAUGCACGACUAGACGCCAAAUUGGAUUCUAAGCUGGGCCAUGUAGUCAUGGGCAACAAUGCAGUCUCACCUUAUCAACAAGUGAUUGAAAAGACCAAAAGCCUGUCUUUUCGUAGUCAAAUGUUGGCUAUGAACAUUGAGAAGAAAUUGAAUCAGAGUGGUAGGUCUGAGGCACCUAACUGGGCUACUCAAGAUUCUGGCUUCUAUUGAAAUAUUUCUGCAGAGGGGGGAAAAAAAAUCAGCUUUCAUUUGAAUAAAUAGCACAAAAAUAUAACUUUUUUGAGAAAAGGGAAGAAAGGUAGAAGAUGGAGAAAUACUGUACUUCCUCUGCUGCAAGACUCUUUGAACUACGUUGUUUUAUUUUUUCAGUAAAUUUGUUGAACAGUUACAAUGUUAUAUUGUCAAGUUUUCUGUCUUUUGUAGAAAAUAAAGAUUGUAGUUUCAUCUUCAAACAAGCAUAAUGUAUAAAGUUAAGAUUCUCAGACAAGCUGUGUGUCAAAUUUGUAAUUUUUUAAAUAAAAUUUUUAAUAGUUUCAGUAAA
Apus apus (common swift) is the source of this 1716-nucleotide RNA transcript. It is a transcript of the gene named eukaryotic translation initiation factor 3 subunit E, with no coding region annotated. The transcript is spliced from 14 exons. The record is from RefSeq and is a predicted model, not a curated record. Lineage: Eukaryota; Metazoa; Chordata; Aves; Apodiformes; Apodidae.